AGUGAACGCUGGCGGCGUGCCUAAUACAUGCAAGUCGAACGGAGUGGCGCACGGGCGAGUAAUGUAUAGCCAAUCUGCCCUACACUAGAGGACAACAGUUGGAAACGGCUGCUAAUACUCUAUAGUGUAGGAUGAGGCUAUAUUGUAUCAGCUAGAUGGUGAGGUAAUGGCGCACCAAGGCUAUGACGCAUAACUGGUCUGAGAGGAUGAUCAGUCACGCAGGAGCUGAGACACGGUCCAGACGCCUACGGGAGGCAGCGGUAGGGAGUGUUGCUCAAUGGGGGAGGCCCUGAAGCAGCAACGCCGCGUGGAGGAUGACACUUUUCGGGGCGUAAACUCCUUUUGUUAGGGAGGCGUUACCUAACGAAUAAGCACCGGCUAACUCCGUGCCAGCAGCCGCGGUAAUUC
Molecule: ribosomal RNA, 408 nt
Filed under: uncultured bacterium
Lineage: Bacteria
Description: partial 16S ribosomal RNA
Rfam family: Bacterial small subunit ribosomal RNA
Source: RNAcentral